This 445-nucleotide ribosomal RNA is filed under the name uncultured bacterium. Its description in RNAcentral is "bacterial SSU rRNA". It matches the Rfam family "Bacterial small subunit ribosomal RNA", at positions 354 to 796 of the family's 1533-position model. The record is from RNAcentral.
GUGAGGAAUAUUGGUCAAUGGGCGAGAGCCUGAACCAGCCAUCCCGCGUGAAGGAAGAAGGCGCUAUGCGUUGUAAACUUCUUUUUCAGGGGAAUAAAAUUUCGUAUGUAUACGGAACUGAAGGUACCCUGAGAAUAAGCAUCGGCUAACUCCGUGCCAGCAGCCGCGGUAAUACGGAGGAUGCGAGCGUUAUUCGGAUUUAUUGGGUUUAAAGGGUGCGUAGGCGGGUCAUUAAGUCAGUGGUGAAAUCCUGCAGCUUAACUGUAGAAUUGCCAUUGAUACUGAUGAUCUUGAGUAUGGUCAAGGCAGGCGGAAUGUGUAAUGUAGCGGUGAAAUGCUUAGAUAUUACACAGAACACCGAUAGCGAAGGCAGCUUGCUGGGCCGUUACUGACGCUGAUGCACGAAAGCGUGGGGAUCGAACAGGAUUAGAAACCCUAGUAGUCC